CUAGUAUAAGCAAUUAUACCGUGAAACUGCGAAUGGCUCAUUAAAUCAGUUAUCGUUUAUUUGAUAGUACCUUACUACUUGGAUAACCGUGGUAAUUCUAGAGCUAAUACAUGCUGAAAACCCCAACUUCGGAAGGGGUGUAUUUAUUAGAUAAAAAACCAAUGCCCUUCGGGGCUCUUUGGUGAUUCAUGAUAACUUCUCAGAUCGCAUGGCCUUGCGCCGGCGACGGUUCAUUCAAAUUUCUGCCCUAUCAACUUUCGAUGGUAAGGUAUUGGCUUACCAUGGUUUCAACGGGUAACGGGGAAUUAGGGUUCGAUUCCGGAGAGGGAGCCUGAGAAACGGCUACCACAUCCAAGGAAGGCAGCAGGCGCGCAAAUUACCCAAUCCCGACACGGGGAGGUAGUGACAAUAAAUACUGAUACAGGGCUCUUUUGGGUCUUGUAAUUGGAAUGAGUACAAUUUAAACCUCUUAACGAGGAACAAUUGGAGGGCAAGUCUGGUGGACGUUUUUUCAGCAUCCCAAAAUUCUGCUGACGCCAGAGAUAGUCGGGCGCCUUUCGAGGUGUUAUGCCGGCUAGUCGAGUACCUACUAAUUUGAUGGGGAGGUACCGGCGAGACAACCUGGAUCGGGGAAGGCUAAGGCACACACACCUAAGUGUGUUGCUAUGCUAAUCCCGAGCAGAGCUACCACAGAGCGAUUUGUGGAUAGCCUGUGUAGAGCGCGGAAAGGUGUCGGCCAACUCAUGUAAGUUGGCUUAAGGGACGUGCCAUUCCCAUCCGAAAGGGUGGCUGCCAGCAUAAGCGCCCAUCACGCAAGGGCUGGCAGGUUCAAGCUUUUUUGCUUGAAGUAUCAUCAAAAAAAGGCCAGCAGCCGCGGUAAUUCCAGCUCCAAUAGCGUAUAUUAAAGUUGUUGCAGUUAAAAAGCUCGUAGUUGAACCUUUGGCCUGGCUGGCAGGUCCGCCUCACCGCGUGCACUUGUCCGGCCGGGCCUUUUCUUCUGGAGAACCGCAUGCCCUUCACUGGGUGUGUUGGGGACCAGGACUUUUACUUUGAAAAAAUUAGAGUGUUCAAAGCAGGCCUUUGCUCGAAUACGUUAGCAUGGAAUAAUAGAAUAGGACGUGCGGUCCUAUUUUGUUGGUUUCUAGGACCGCCGUAAUGAUUAAUAGGGACAGUCGGGGGCAUCAGUAUUCAAUUGUCAGAGGUGAAAUUCUUGGAUUUAUUGAAGACUAACUACUGCGAAAGCAUUUGCCAAGGAUGUUUUCAUUAAUCAGUGAACGAAAGUUAGGGGAUCGAAGACGAUCAGAUACCGUCGUAGUCUUAACCAUAAACUAUGCCGACUAGGGAUCGGGCGGUGUUUCUAUUUUGACUCGCUCGGCACCUUACGAGAAAUCAAAGUGU
RNAcentral lists this ribosomal RNA (1398 nucleotides) under Polyschema sp. RNAcentral's name for it is "partial small subunit ribosomal RNA". It matches the Rfam family "Eukaryotic small subunit ribosomal RNA", at positions 60 to 1106 of the family's 1831-position model. The record is from RNAcentral. Lineage: Eukaryota; Fungi; Ascomycota; Dothideomycetes; Pleosporales; Latoruaceae.